Molecule: non-coding RNA, 82 nt
Organism: Acanthosepion pharaonis
Lineage: Eukaryota; Metazoa; Mollusca; Cephalopoda; Sepiida; Sepiidae
Source: the annotation of a GenBank genome assembly
CAUACGAUCACUGAAGUUAAGCACCAUCAAGCCUAGUCAGUACCUAGAUGGGUGACCGCUUGGGAAUACCAAGUGCUGUAAG